RNAcentral lists this ribosomal RNA (406 nucleotides) under uncultured bacterium. Its description in RNAcentral is "partial 16S ribosomal RNA". It matches the Rfam family "Bacterial small subunit ribosomal RNA", at positions 30 to 526 of the family's 1533-position model. The record is from RNAcentral.
AUUGAACGCUGGCGGCAGGCUUAACACAUGCAAGUCGAGCGAGCGGCGGACGGGUGAGUAAUGUCUGGGGAACUGCCCGAUAGAGGGGGAUAACUACUGGAAACGGUAGCUAAUACCGCAUACUAUCGGAUGUACCCAUAUGGGAUUAGCUAGUAGGUGGGGUAAGGGCUCACCUAGGCGACGAUCCCUAGCUGGUCUGAGAGGAUGAUCAGCAACACUGGGACUGAGACACGGCCCAGAAUCCUACGGGAGGCAGCAGUGGGGAAUAUUGCACAAUGGGGGCAAGCCUGAUGCAGCCAUGCCGCGUGGAUGAAGAAGGCCUUAGGGUUGUAAAGUACUUUCAGCGGGGAGGCGUUACCCGCAGAAGAAGCACCGGCUAACUCCGUGCCAGCGGCCGCGGUAAUAC